Molecule: ribosomal RNA, 253 nt
Filed under: uncultured bacterium
Lineage: Bacteria
Description: partial 16S ribosomal RNA
Rfam family: Bacterial small subunit ribosomal RNA
Source: RNAcentral
UACGGAGGGUGCAAGCGUUAUCCGGAUUCACUGGGUUUAAAGGGUGCGUAGGUGGGUUGGUAAGUCAGUGGUGAAAUCCCCGAGCUUAACUUGGGAACUGCCAUUGAUACUAUUGAUCUUGAAUACCGUGGAGGUCAGCGGAAUAUGUCAUGUAGCGGUGAAAUGCUUAGAUAUGACAUAGAACACCAAUUGCGAAGGCAGCUGGCUACGCGAAUAUUGACACUGAUGCACGAAAGCGUGGGGAGCAAACAGG